RNAcentral lists this long non-coding RNA (259 nucleotides) under Dermacentor andersoni. RNAcentral describes it as "uncharacterized LOC126540086". Lineage: Eukaryota; Metazoa; Arthropoda; Arachnida; Ixodida; Ixodidae. The record is from RNAcentral.
CGUUGAAAGCUGCGAUCGAGCAGCCAUUUGCCAGCGACGGCACAUUCUUCUACCGUGGUUGAUGUUUCUCACUGCUUUGAACCCCCAAGACUCCACGGACUGCGGCUGCGGUCGUUUCAUUGCCAACUGUGAGGAUGAAGCAGCUUCAUGGCCGGAGAUCGGGUGCCUCCCAUCAGUUUCCCUUUUCAGCAAUAGAGGCCUUGGAGGCCUUUCUACCUGCGUUGCAUCCUGUGGCUGGACCACUCCAACGAUCUCGGCG